ACAGAAAUGCACUUGCUCGUAUCGAGAAAACGCCGCUACUCCGAGGAGUUUCUUUCAUUCAAAAAGCUUAUUAUCUAACCGAAAGACAUGAAAAUGUCUCCGGAAGUUUAGACAAUAACACUUAAUGUCCGAAAUAAAACGUCCCAAGCUCUAGAUCCACUCUAUUUCCUUCUCAUCCCUGAAACAAAGAAACAAAAUCUC
RNAcentral lists this long non-coding RNA (201 nucleotides) under Daucus carota (carrot). RNAcentral describes it as "long non-coding RNA (DCAR_LNC004968)". The record is from RNAcentral. Lineage: Eukaryota; Viridiplantae; Streptophyta; Magnoliopsida; Apiales; Apiaceae.